RNAcentral lists this transfer RNA (87 nucleotides) under Halopseudomonas yangmingensis. It matches the Rfam family "tRNA". From Rfam's summary of the family: Transfer RNA (tRNA) molecules are approximately 80 nucleotides in length. Lineage: Bacteria; Pseudomonadati; Pseudomonadota; Gammaproteobacteria; Pseudomonadales; Pseudomonadaceae. The record is from Rfam by way of RNAcentral.
GGAGAGAUGCCGGAGUGGUCGAACGGGACGGAUUCGAAAUCCGUUGUACGGGUAACCGUACCUAGGGUUCGAAUCCCUAUCUCUCCG